CAGCAGCCACGGUAACACGGAGGGUGCAAGCGUUAUCCGGAUUCACUGGGUUUAAAGGGUGCGUAGGCGGGCAGGUAAGUCAGUGGUGAAAUCUUCGAGCUUAACUCGGAAACUGCCGUUGAUACUAUCUGUCUUGAAUAACGUUGAGGUGAGCGGAAUAUGUCAUGUAGCGGUGAAAUGCUUAGAUAUGACAUAGAACACCGAUUGCGAAGGCAGCUCACUAAACGCUCAUUGACGCUGAGGCACGAAAGCGUGGGGAUCAAACAGGAUUAGAUACCCCUGUAGUCCCUGUCUCUUAUAC
RNAcentral lists this ribosomal RNA (301 nucleotides) under uncultured bacterium. RNAcentral describes it as "partial 16S ribosomal RNA". It matches the Rfam family "Bacterial small subunit ribosomal RNA", at positions 509 to 807 of the family's 1533-position model. The record is from RNAcentral.